Molecule: ribosomal RNA, 995 nt
Filed under: Staphylococcus aureus
Lineage: Bacteria; Bacillati; Bacillota; Bacilli; Caryophanales; Staphylococcaceae
Description: partial 23S ribosomal RNA
Rfam family: Bacterial large subunit ribosomal RNA
Source: RNAcentral
GUAAUAAUCCUGUAGUCGAAAAUGUUGUCUCUCUUGAGUGGAUCCUGAGUACGACGGAGCACGUGAAAUUCCGUCGGAAUCUGGGAGGACCAUCUCCUAAGGCUAAAUACUCUCUAGUGACCGAUAGUGAACCAGUACCGUGAGGGAAAGGUGAAAAGCACCCCGGAAGGGGAGUGAAAUAGAACCUGAAACCGUGUGCUUACAAGUAGUCAGAGCCCGUUAAUGGGUGAUGGCGUGCCUUUUGUAGAAUGAACCGGCGAGUUACGAUUUGAUGCAAGGUUAAGCAGUAAAUGUGGAGCCGUAGCGAAAGCGAGUCUGAAUAGGGCGUUUAGUAUUUGGUCGUAGACCCGAAACCAGGUGAUCUACCCUUGGUCAGGUUGAAGUUCAGGUAACACUGAAUGGAGGACCGAACCGACUUACGUUGAAAAGUGAGCGGAUGAACUGAGGGUAGCGGAGAAAUUCCAAUCGAACCUGGAGAUAGCUGGUUCUCUCCGAAAUAGCUUUAGGGCUAGCCUCAAGUGAUGAUUAUUGGAGGUAGAGCACUGUUUGGACGAGGGGCCCCUCUCGGGUUACCGAAUUCAGACAAACUCCGAAUGCCAAUUAAUUUAACUUGGGAGUCAGAACAUGGGUGAUAAGGUCCGUGUUCGAAAGGGAAACAGCCCAGACCACCAGCUAAGGUCCCAAAAUAUAUGUUAAGUGGAAAAGGAUGUGGCGUUGCCCAGACAACUAGGAUGUUGGCUUAGAAGCAGCCAUCAUUUAAAGAGUGCGUAAUAGCUCACUAGUCGAGUGACACUGCGCCGAAAAUGUACCGGGGCUAAACAUAUUACCGAAGCUGUGGAUUGUCCUUUGGACAAUGGUAGGAGAGCGUUCUAAGGGCGUUGAAGCAUGAUCGUAAGGACAUGUGGAGCGCUUAGAAGUGAGAAUGCCGGUGUGAGUAGCGAAAGACGGGUGAGAAUCCCGUCCACCGAUUGACUAAGGUUUCCAGAGGAAGGCUC